RNAcentral lists this ribosomal RNA (513 nucleotides) under uncultured bacterium. RNAcentral's name for it is "partial 16S ribosomal RNA". It matches the Rfam family "Bacterial small subunit ribosomal RNA", at positions 355 to 865 of the family's 1533-position model. The record is from RNAcentral.
UAAGGAAUAUUGGACAAUGGACGCAAGUCUGAUCCAGCCAUGCCGCGUGAAGGAUGACUGCCCUCUGGGUUGUAAACUUCUUUUAUAGGGGAAGAAAGUUAUUUUUCUUAGGAUAUUUGACGGUACCCUAUGAAUAAGCACCGGCUAACUCCGUGCCAGCAGCCGCGGUAAUACGGAGGGUGCAAGCGUUAUCCGGAUUCACUGGGUUUAAAGGGUGCGUAGGCGGGUAUGUAAGUCAGUGGUGAAAUACCGGAGCUUAACUUCGGAACUGCCAUUGAUACUAUAUAUCUUGAAUAUUGUGGAGGUAAGCGGAAUAUGUCAUGUAGCGGUGAAAAUGCUUAGAGAUGACAUAGAACACCGAUUGCGAAGGCAGCUUGCUACGCAAAUAUUGACGCUGAGGCACGAAAGCGUGGGGAUCAAAACAGGAUUAGAUACCCUGGUAGUCCACGCCCUAAACGAUGAUUACUCGACAUUAGCGAUACACAGUUAAGUGUCUGAGCGAAAGCAUUAAGU